GUGGGAUAACGAAGUGCUGAUUAUAACAACUACCGAUUCUAUGUAAAGCGGACCCAUUUAAGAUAUUUUUUACUCAAUUAGCUGGACAUAUUAGUGUUUACUAGAUCUGAACAGCUGAAUUUAUUUUGAAAUGAGAGGUGUAUUAUUUGUGCUUGGUGCACUUCUUUGUGCAUCAGCAGUUUCAGCCUUUCCCAAACCUAGGAAGGAGGUUCCUCAACAGUGUGCUGACCCCACAUUUGCAUGUCAAGAUCUGGAAAAUGCUAGGUUGUGUGAUGUUGUAAAAUCAUGUGUUCAUGAUAUUUGGGCUACAAUGAGUGCCCCUGAUGAUAAUGAUGAAAUCUGUGAUAUCUGCAAAGAAAUGGUAAAAGAAGCCAGGGACCAACUACUUAGCAAUAUGACUCAGGAAGAAAUUAAAGAAGUAUUUGAAGGAAGUUGUAAAUUGUUACCAGUUAAGCUUGUUGCUGAUGCUUGCAUCAAAAUUGUUGAUGAAAUAAUCCCUGAACUUGUUGAAAUGUUAGCCUCACGCAUGGACCCUAAUAUGGUCUGCACAGUCUCUGGUUUAUGCAAUAUGGCUCACUUACCAGUAGAAAACCAUAUCUUGAAGUUCUUAAGGAUGGUACUUACACCUCAUAAAGACAGCCAGUGUGAUCAGUGCACUAAAAUGAUGACAGAUGUGAAGACAUUCUUGAAAUCAGAAACAGAGGCUGAUGUUGAAAAAUACAUUGAAAAGUUCUGUGAUAAGGAAGCUCCAUCUUACUUGUGUGAUAUCUUGGUUGACAAUUAUUUUCCUAAAAUCUAUUCAUACAUUGUGAGCAUUGAUGCAAAAACACUGUGUAACUCUGUUGGAAUUUGUGCACAAAAGUGUGAAUUGAUUGAAGACAAGCCUUCACAUCUCAAGGAUGAGUUAACUUGUGAAUUCUGUGAACAUGUACUCCAGCAUAUUAAAGAUCUGAUUACUGCGAAUACCACAGCGGAAGAAUUUAAAACAGCAUUAUUGAAUUUCUGCAAGCAUACUGGAAAGUUCUCUGACAAAUGUACAGCAUUGGUAAAUGAUUAUUACGACAUGCUUUUUGAUUACAUAAAGAAAUUGGACACCAAAGGAAUGUGCACUCUUAUGCAACUGUGUAACAAUGAAAAGUGCUCAAAAGUCUCUCUGGUUAAAGUUGUGCCUGCUAUUAAAUCAAGAAAACAAAUACCUUUAAUAAAACUUCAUCCUGUUGAAUCAAUAUCUAAAGGCAUUGAUGUAUAUCCACUUGUUAAACUUAUUCCUGCUGAUGUAUUAUCUAAAAAACAGUUGGUGGAAUCGAAUGAAAUUUUCCCACAUCAGUUGCCUUUGGAAAGGUUGACCCAUCCACUUUCUAUAUUUGAAAAGGAUACUGAAUGUGCAUUUUGUAAAGCAAUUUCAUUUUAUUUAGAACAAGAUCUGAAUGGAGACAGGAGCAAGGUCAAUGUUCGUGAAGCUCUCGAUGCAGUUUGUAAUAAAUGGGUGAAGGAUUUUCCUGAUCAUUGUCAAAACUUUUUGAAAACAUACUCAUUGAAAGUUCAGUAUGCUAUUGCUAAGGGAACUGAAUUUGGAGAUAUAUGCCAGUCUGUCAAAGCAUGUCCUAUUGAAACCCAUAAAGAAUUGAAUGUAAAAGUUAUUCCAAAACCUCAGGACAAUGCAUUUUGUGAUCUGUGCAAAGAUGCAAUGAUAGAAGUCGAAAAUCAGUUGAAUGAUCCUGCUACAAAGGAAAAAGUUGAAAAUUUCUUGGAUCAAGCCUGCAAUAUUUUACCCAAAUCCCUAAGAGAUGACUGUAACGAUUUCAUUAACCAAAAUGUCGAAGCUCUAAUCAGCAUUCUCCAACAAGAAUUAAAACCUGAUAAUAUUUGCCCUGCACUAGGACUUUGCCCACAGUUAGCAAGAAUUGGUGUUUCUGAAGAAGUGAAAGAUCUGGAAUGCGAUGUAUGCAAAGACGUGAUUUCAUCAUUUAAGCAAAAGUUGCAGCAACCUGGCUCUAAGACAAUGGUUCUUACUUUCUUGGAGGAAGGAUGUGCUCGAUUACCUAGCUCACUUGCUGAAGAAUGCAAAACAUUUGUGGAUGAAAAUAUUGAUACAGUUAUGAAUAUUAUCAUUCAAGAGCUAGAUCCUGAUUUAGUUUGUGGAAUGCUGAAAAUUUGCCCAGGCUCACUAAAGAAAGAAAAACCUACAAAGUUCAAAAAUUUAGAAUGUGACCUAUGCAAAGAAGUAAUAGAGAAGGUUGAAGAUUUGAUAAAGGACAAGAAAACAGAAGAGGAGAUCAAGAAUGCUUUAGAUAAAGUAUGCUCUUAUUUGCCUUCUUCGAUUGCGACAAAGUGUGAAAAUUUUGUAAAUCAAUACACAGACCUACUAAUUACUUUACUGACUCAAGAAGUGGAUCCUGAAAUUAUCUGUGCUGCUCUGAAUGUGUGUCCAGCUAAAGUGGCUUUUACCAAGCAGGAUUCAAAAGCUAAAGAUGUGGAAUGUCAAGGUUGUCAAUAUGUUCUCCACUUUGUGCAAGAGCAGCUGAUGAAUUCUGAAACUCAGGAAGAAAUAAAAAAUGUUCUGAAGAAAAUGUGUGAUGCCUUGCCUGAAAAAUUGUCUGCUAACUGUGAAGCAUUUGUAGAAGAAUAUGGUGAUGCUCUUUUAGUAUUAAUUGCACAAGAAAUAGACCCAAGUACCCUAUGUUAUGAAGUGAAAUUAUGUGACAAUCAGACAAAAAUUUUUGAUAAAUUACCCUUAGCUCCUUUGAAUUCUUUCAAAAUGGAUGAAUGUUCAAUUUGCACCACAGUCGUCGAUUAUUUAGACAAACUUCUUGAAGAAGAUGAUGUGGAUAAGGAAAUCACAAAAAUUGUAGAAAAAAUAUGUACAGUUGUCCCAGCCUCUUAUAAAGAUAAGUGUUCUACUUUGCUUGAAACUUAUGGUCCAUACAUAUUACAGAUGAUUGGUCAGCUAGCUGAUAGUAGGCAAGUUUGCCAGAGUAGACAAAAGGUAGACUUUGAGGACCAUAGAUUCGGAAGCACUGGCCUUUUUAAGACAUUGACUUCUGCCCAACACCUGCUGGGCAUGUUCACCUAAUUGGCGGCAAUAAAUGUACUUUCGGACCAUCAUACUGGUGCCGUUCAACAGCUCAUGCAGCUGCUUGCAAGGCAGAGAAAUACUGCAAAACCAAAGCCUGGAAAAAUUGAAUCUUGUCUAUCAUCUGAGAGCUUUUUAAUAAUUAUUACUUUUUUUUUUUUUUUUACAUUUGGCUCUGUUAUUUCAGUGUCUGACUUAAAACUAUUAGUAUGGACAAAAGACCAACUUCAGCUGCAUCAUGACACUACUUUUGUUGGAUUUUAUUUUGUGCAUUAAGUUGUUAGAGCAGCUAUGAACUCUGAUGGGUUGUUAAUAUUUUUAAUGUGUUUUGUCUUCCUUUUUUUUUUUUAUUAGCAGCGCAUGUGAUGCACAUAUGUAUAUUAAUGCUAAAUCUUGAUGCCAUACUUUGUACCAUUUUGUUAAUUUUUUAAUGUAGUUUGAAUAAUAAAAUAUUUAAAAUAAAUCA
Stegodyphus dumicola is the source of this 3539-nucleotide unclassified non-coding RNA. The record is from RefSeq and is a predicted model, not a curated record. NCBI's taxonomy places the organism in Eukaryota, Metazoa, Arthropoda, Arachnida, Araneae, Eresidae.